GAUGAAGAACGCAGCGAAAUGCGAUAAGUAGUGUGAAUUGCAGAAUUCAGUGAAUCAUCGAAUCUUUGAACGCACAUUGCGCCCCUUGGUAUUCCAUGGGGCAUGCCUGUUCGAGCGUCAUUGCUGCCCUUCAAGCCUGGCUUGUGUGUUGGGUCGUCGUCCCCCCCGGGGGACGGGCCCGAAAGGCAGCGGCGGCACCGCGUCCGGUCCUCGAGCGUAUGGGGCUUUGUCACCCGCUCGAUUAGGGCCGGCCGGGCGCCAGCCGGCGUCUCCAACCUUCUAUUUUACCAGGUUGACCUCGGAUCAGGUAGGGAUACCCGCUGAACUUAAGCAUAUCAAUAAGCGGAGGA
RNAcentral lists this unclassified non-coding RNA (350 nucleotides) under soil metagenome. Its description in RNAcentral is "partial contains 5.8S ribosomal RNA, internal transcribed spacer 2, and large subunit ribosomal RNA". The stretch from base 1 to 120 matches the Rfam family "5.8S ribosomal RNA", at positions 35 to 154 of the family's 154-position model. The record is from RNAcentral.